AAUAUUGCUAUUUAAAUUUAUGCUACUUUUGACUAAUUGUCAUAACUUCAUUAUUGAAAAUUUGCAUAAUACUUGGUUUUUGCCAGUUUUUUCAUUUAUGGUUUGUUUUAUUCAGAUACCUCUGCUAUCUAAAUGUAAAACAGGUUUUGUUGGAUGGCUAAUUUUUCAAGUUUUUGUUGAUCUUGUAUAUGGAAUGAGUUGUGAAAAAAUUCUGCAGGUUAACUUGGUUAGAAAGGGAUGGCCAACAAGUUGAUCGCUCACAAUGAAGGAAAUUCUGAAGGAAAUACUGUAAAAAUUGAGAUUCUGAUGAAAAUUAAACAAAAUGUGAUGCUUUUAAUUUUUUGCAUAUUAAGCUUAAGUACUAACAAGGUAACAAGUUGACUGAGAGUUGCUGAUAUGAAGAAAAUUAUAUAGGGAUGAUGAUUCAUAUACCGAUUCAUCCAACAAAAUUUUAGGUGUAAACAUUUCACAAAUUUUUUAAUCUUGAAAGUUUGUAAUUUUUAAUUUCCUGUGACUAUUAUAAUAAUGCUAAAAAUUUUAUUGUUCAAAUGGUGACGACAUUAUAGGAC
Molecule: long non-coding RNA, 569 nt
Filed under: Androctonus crassicauda
Lineage: Eukaryota; Metazoa; Arthropoda; Arachnida; Scorpiones; Buthidae
Source: RNAcentral